GAACGCUGGCGGCGUGCUUAACACAUGCAAGUCGAACGAAGCACUCUAUUUGAUUUCCUUCGGGAUUGAUUAUUUUGUGACUGAGUGGCGGACGGGUGAGUAACGCGUGGGUAACCUGCCUCAUACAGGGGGAUAACAGUUGGAAACGGCUGCUAAUACCGCAUAAGCGCACAGUACCGCAUGGUACCGUGUGAAAAACUCCGGUGGUAUGAGAUGGACCCGCGUCUGAUUAGCUAGUUGGUGGGGUAACGGCCUACCAAGGCGACGAUCCAUAGCCGGCCUGAGAGGGUGGACGGCCACAUUGGGACUGAGACACGGCCCAGACUCCUACGGGAGGCAGCAGUGGGGAAUAUUGCACAAUGGGGGAAACCCUGAUGCAGCGACGCCGCGUGAGCGAAGAAGUAUUUCGGUAUGUAAAGCUCUAUCAGCAGGGAAGAAAAUGACGGUACCUGACUAAGAAGCCCCGGCUAACUACGUGCCAGCAGCCGCGGUAAUACGUAGGGGGCAAGCGUUAUCCGGAUUUACUGGGUGUAAAGGGAGCGUACACGGAAUGGCAAGUCUGAUGUGAAAGGCCGGGGCUCAACCCCGGGACUGCAUUGGAAACUGUCAAUCUAGAGUACCGGAGGGUAAGUGGAAUUCCUAGUGUA
This 647-nucleotide ribosomal RNA is filed under the name uncultured bacterium. Its description in RNAcentral is "bacterial SSU rRNA". It matches the Rfam family "Bacterial small subunit ribosomal RNA", at positions 31 to 677 of the family's 1533-position model. The record is from RNAcentral.